Molecule: long non-coding RNA, 3060 nt
Filed under: Homo sapiens (human)
Lineage: Eukaryota; Metazoa; Chordata; Mammalia; Primates; Hominidae
Description: HSALNT0025321
Source: RNAcentral
CCCGGGUUCACGCCAUUGUCCUGCCUCAGCCUCCCGAGUAGCUGGGACCACAGGCGCCCGCCACCAUGCCCGGCUAAUUUUUUUUUUUUUUUUUUUUUGUAUUUUUACUAGAGAUGGGGUUUCAUCGUGUUAGCCAGGAUGGUCUCAAUCUCCUGACCUCGUGACCCGCGCGCCUCAGCCUCCCAAAGUGCUGGGAUUACAGGCAUGAGCCACCGUGCCCAGCCGCUCUCUGACUUCUUUUACCUAAUUCACAGUAUUUCUCUGAGGGUCAAAUAAGAUCAAGAACAAGAUGCGAAAACUACAAAGUGCAUUUUAAAAUAGGUGAUUACUGGGAUUUUUUUUUAGUAUUUGAUUUUUUUAUAGUAUGAUCAUUGCUUUUUGUUUCUUCAUUUGUUUUUGAGACACAGUCUCACUCUGUCACCCAGGCUGGAGCAAAGUGGUGCGAUCUCUGGCUCAUUGCCUCCCAGGUUUAAGUGAUUCUCCCGCCUCAGCCUUCCAAGUAGCUGGGAGUACAGGCGCCUGCCACCACACCUGGCUAAUUUUUGUAUUUUUAGUAGAGACAGGGUUUCACCAUGUUGGCCAGGCUGGUCUUGAACUCCUGACCUUAAGUGAUCCGCCCACCUCAGCCUCCCAAAGUGCUGGGAUUACAGGCAUGAGCCACCGUACCUGGCCUGAUUAUUGAUACUCCACACAAAACACAGAAAAUACAACACAAAUAUGGAAACUAUUAAACAAUUAUUUCAGGUUUUAAUUCACAAAAAUGCACCCAGUAUGGAUCCUAGUUUUUUGUUUUUUUUGUAUUUUUUUUUGUAAUUUCCUAAAUGUACUGGGAUAAAAUAUUUCUGAAAAAAUAAGCUCUAUAAAAAUUUUCAAUUAAGGUUAUAUUUGAUCAUCAUAGUAGUACAGCCCAACAAAACAGUUUUACCUAAAGUAACAUGAAAAAUAUAAUUUCUGUUUCACCCUUAAAAAAUGUGUGUUUGUAUUUAUGUACUUCCAAAACUUUUUCUUAUCAACUAAUAAGAUCAGGUCACGUUAAGUCUAUUGAUCUCACCUUUCACUGUAAUAUCUGCUUUGGCAACUGUUCCUUAGAUACAAUGUUCUCCAAACUCAAAAGUUAUUUCCCCACUGGAUAGGUGAUUUUGUACUGUUUAUAUUAAACUUUAUCUCUUUUCUUCUAAGAGCAGCUCCCCCAGGUAGUCAAGUCUGUUCCAUGUUAGCUUACUUUCAAAUUAAGUCACCUUCUGGCAUGACACAAUUAUAGAGCACAUUAAUAACUGCAGGCACCUGCAGAAUAAAUUCAAACGCAUUCCUUUCCCUCCCCCUCUCUUGAUAUAUACCUGCAAAACUGUCUAAAAAUUCUAUAAAAUCUAAAACUCAAAAAUGGUCUUCUCUAUAUUCCUGUGUUCCUCCUUACUGAUACUAGGUUCUAAUACUCUGUCUUCUAAAACCUGGCAACACUAUCUAAUCUAUUCUCACCCUGUGAUGACUGUGACUGCUGAAACCUCAUUUUCAUAGUCCAACAUUCAAAUCUUCAAUUGUUGCUUGACAAACUCAGUUAUCAUGGAAUAGCUACCUGAAGAAAACAGCUGAAUUCAGUACACUAUUUUCAGUGACUGCAAAACUAUAAUACACAAUACAGAUAUUUUUCACAUAAACUAGGUGUAAAAAUACAAUGUUCACACUUCAUAUGAGAAUAUUUUAUUUCUAGAAAUAAAUCUUCACCAGUCCAAACACGUAAGUUUACAGAAAGUCAGUAAGAAAUCAUUAUAUUUAUAUAGCACCUUGACCACUACAAAAGCUGCUCACUGAUAAUAUCAGAAAUAAUCAAUAGGCUUAUAACACUGCCAAAAUGGUAGCAGAGUAUCGUGUGUCUAUUGAGUCUGAAAUUAAAUUGCAAUUUAAGGUCCAUCUCUUAAAGCUAUAUUCAUGUAUUUAGAACUCUAUCAAACAAAACAAGAAAAAAAUUACUUUGACGUACAUCUUUUAAAGAUGAAUAUGAAACUUUGGACAAUAAAUACUACUCUCCCGAAUCAACUUUUAAAGUGCAACCAUCUUUUAAUGAUAGUUAACUGCUUUAAGAAAGCAAUAAACUAAAAUGUAAACCUGAAAGCCCACUAUCUUAAGCUCUUUUAAAAAUUAAAUACACCAGCAACAUUUUGAGACUCAAAAUUAAUUUACUUCACUCAAUCCUAUGCAUAAGUUUGGCAAUUUGUUUCAGAUGCUAUUUUUUCUGUAAUUUUUGUGGGUACAUAGUAGGUGUAUAUAUUUAUGGGCUAUAUAAGAUGUUUUGAUACAGGCAUGUAAUGUGAAACAAGCACAUCAACAAGAAUGGGGUAUCCAUCCCCUAAAACAUUUGUCCUUUGGGCUACAUGUCAUUUCCUAAUGUAAAGAAAAUGGACAGACAGAACCAACAUUGAUUUGACUGGGUGAAAAAGUCCAUUUGAGUUGGGAGCAGGGGUUGUGUUCCUGGAUUUGGGUUGUUAGGACAGUAUAAAAAGGCUUCACAGGGGAACAUUCUUUUCUGAUAAAGGAAAGCAGCUGGGUUGGCUUCAAAUAGCAGUGACUUUACUUGGAAUAUUCACAGGUAAGCUGCAAAUAUAAAACACCUUCCACAGAGUGUUAUUUUGUAAUCGGGGCUUAUCUCAAGUGCAAGAACCUCCAGCCUACAGCUUUAGUAGGUGCCUCGGACACUGUGCCCGGCUUUAGUAGGUGCCGCGGACACUGCGCCCGGCUUUAGUAGGUGCCUCGGACACUGUGCCCGGCUUUAGUAGGUGCCUCAAACACUGUGCCCACGUACUCUGAAUGGCGUAUACACAAUGAUAAUAAAAGAUAACACAGUGUUUGCUAAGUGCCAGGUACAACUACAGGUACCGUACCAGAUAGAAACUGUUAUUAUAACCAUUUGACAGAUAAAAACACUAAAGCACACGGAGAUGAGUGAAUUUGCCCAAGGUCACAUAGACAGUAAGCAGUAUGAAGAAACAUAUGUAUAACUGCACUGACUCUAAAAUAUUAUAAAUUUAUUCUGUUAAAGGUUUCUGUUUAAAAAAAAAUCCAUGU